GACGAACGCUGGCGGCGUGCUUAACACAUGCAAGUCGAACGGAAAGGCCCUGCUUGCAGGGUACUCGAGUGGCGAACGGGUGAGUAACACGUGGGUGAUCUGCCCUGCACUUCGGGAUAAGCCUGGGAAACUGGGUCUAAUACCGGAUAUGACCUUCCAUGUAGUGUGGGGGGUGGAAAGAUUUAUCGGUGUGGGAUGAGCCCGCGGCCUAUCAGCUUGUUGGUGGGGUAAUGGCCUACCAAGGCGUCGACGGGUAGCCGGCCUGAGAGGGUGGACGGCCACAUUGGACUUGGGUAACGGCCCGGACUCCUACGGAAGGCAGCGGUGGGAAUAAUUGCCCAAUGGGCGGAGCCUGAUGCAGCGACGCCGCGUGGGGGAUGACGGCCCUCGGGUUGUAAACCUCUUUCGACAGGGACGAAGCUUCGGUGACGGUACCUGUAUAAGAAGCACCGGCUAACUACGUG
This 464-nucleotide ribosomal RNA is filed under the name uncultured bacterium. RNAcentral describes it as "partial 16S ribosomal RNA". It matches the Rfam family "Bacterial small subunit ribosomal RNA", at positions 28 to 507 of the family's 1533-position model. The record is from RNAcentral.